UACGUAGGGGGCAAGCGUUAUCCGGAUUUACUGGGUGUAAAGGGGGCGCAGACGGCAAUGCAAGCCAGAUGUGAAAGCCCGGGGCUCAACCCCGGGACUGCAUUUGGAACUGUAUGGCUGGAGUGUCGGAGAGGCAGGCGGAAUUCCUAGUGUAGCGGUGAAAUGCGUAGAUAUUAGGAGGAACACCAGUGGCGAAGGCGGCCUGCUGGACGAUGACUGACGUUGAGGCUCGAAAGCGUGGGGAGCAAACAGG
This 253-nucleotide ribosomal RNA is filed under the name uncultured bacterium. Its description in RNAcentral is "partial 16S ribosomal RNA". It matches the Rfam family "Bacterial small subunit ribosomal RNA", at positions 524 to 776 of the family's 1533-position model. The record is from RNAcentral.